UUUCCAGAGAUGGAUUGGUGCCUUCGGGAACUCUGACACAGGUGCUGCAUGGCUGUCGUCAGCUCGUGUCGUGAGAUGUUGGGUUAAGUCCCGUAACGAGCGCAACCCUUGUCCUUAGUUACCAGCACGUAAUGGUGGGCACUCUAAGGAAACUGCCGGUGACAAACCGAAGAAAGGUGGGGAUAACUUCAAUUCAUCAUGGCCCUUACAGCCUGGGCUACACACUUGCUACAAUGGUCGGUACAGAGGGUUGCCAAGCCGCGAGGUGGAGCUAAUCUCACAAAACCGAUCGUAGUCCGGAUCGCA
This 306-nucleotide ribosomal RNA is filed under the name Pseudomonas sp. GM35. RNAcentral describes it as "bacterial SSU rRNA". It matches the Rfam family "Bacterial small subunit ribosomal RNA", at positions 997 to 1302 of the family's 1533-position model. The record is from RNAcentral. Lineage: Bacteria; Pseudomonadati; Pseudomonadota; Gammaproteobacteria; Pseudomonadales; Pseudomonadaceae.